CAUAACAGAAAAUAGGUUCAUAGUCGAUCUUAACCCAAACAUCAUUGUAUUUACGAUUUCUAGGAAGUAACUUAACAACGUGUUAUUUUCAGUAUUUCUUGAAUUUUGGUCUAAGUACAUCGUCCUACGUAUACUUUUGCCACAAUUACAUCAUGGGCAAUUGUUGCGCAGCAUGCAUUGUUCAGUGCGUGGCCGGUUUCGUUGUGUACACCGGGAAGGGAUUAUGGUUAUUGGCGAAACUGGGUUUCAUAGCUACUGGCGUGGUAGCUGGUAGUUUAGCAGCCCUUGCGAUGUCGUUCUUUGGAAAUGUGGAGGCCGGGAGUGUCAUAGCGGCUGCUACAUCGAUUGGUAUGAAGAUGUGACAGAAAUUCCCUUCACAAACCGUGGAAAAUCAUUUAAGCCUAUUUUAGCUAACAUAAAUAAAUAUGUCAGCUGAUAUGUUGCGGCUAGUUUUUCAUGUACUUAAUAAACUUGUGUUUAAGUGUGA
This is a long non-coding RNA of Leguminivora glycinivorella, 487 nucleotides long. RefSeq lists it as uncharacterized. NCBI's taxonomy places the organism in Eukaryota, Metazoa, Arthropoda, Insecta, Lepidoptera, Tortricidae. The transcript has 2 exons. The record is from RefSeq and is a predicted model, not a curated record.